This 253-nucleotide ribosomal RNA is filed under the name uncultured bacterium. Its description in RNAcentral is "partial 16S ribosomal RNA". It matches the Rfam family "Bacterial small subunit ribosomal RNA", at positions 524 to 776 of the family's 1533-position model. The record is from RNAcentral.
UACGUAGGUGGCAAGCGUUGUCCGGAUUUAUUGGGCGUAAAGCGCGCGCAGGUGGUUCGUUGCGUCCGAGGUGAAAUCUCCCGGCUCAACUGGGAGGGGUCUUCGGAUACGGGCGGACUAGAGGAGAGCAGAGGUAGGCGGAAUGCUGGGUGUAGUGGUGAAAUGCGUAGAGAUGCGGAGGAACACCGAUGGCGAAGGCAGCCCCCUGGGCCGACAUUGACGCUCAGGCACGAAAGCGUGGGGAGCAAACAGG